This 490-nucleotide ribosomal RNA is filed under the name uncultured bacterium. RNAcentral describes it as "partial 16S ribosomal RNA". It matches the Rfam family "Bacterial small subunit ribosomal RNA", at positions 29 to 507 of the family's 1533-position model. The record is from RNAcentral.
AGUGAACGCUGGCGGCAGGCCUAACACAUGCAAGUCGAACGGCAGCACCAGAGAGCUUGCUCUCUGGGUGGCGAGUGGCGGACGGGUGAGGAAUGCAUCGGAAUCUGCUCAUUUGUGGGGGAUAACCUCGGGAAACCGGGACUAAUACCGCAUACGACCUACGGGUGAAAGCAGGGGAUCUUCGGUCCUUGCUCAGUUGGAUGAGCCGAUGCCGGAUUAGCUAGUUGGAGGGGUAAAGGCCCACCAAGGCGACGAUCCGUAGCUGGUCUGAGAGGAUGAUCAGCCACACGGGGACUGAGACACGGCCCAGACUCCUACGGGAGGCAGCAGUGGGGAAUAUUGGACAAUGGGCGCAAGCCUGAUCCAGCCAUGCCGCGUGUGUGAAGAAGGCCUUCGGGUUGUAAAGCACUUUUGUUGGGAAAGAAAAGCAGCCGGUUAAUACCCGGUUGUCAUGACGGUACCCAAAGAAUAAGCACCGGCUAACUUCGUG